GGAUGUAGCUCAGCUGGUUAGAGUACCGGAUUGUGGUUCCGAGGGUCGAGGGUUCGAAUCCCUUCUUC
RNAcentral lists this transfer RNA (68 nucleotides) under bovine gut metagenome. It matches the Rfam family "tRNA". From Rfam's summary of the family: Transfer RNA (tRNA) molecules are approximately 80 nucleotides in length. The record is from RNAcentral.